GUUUAUAAUAGUUUUAAUGUUACAGAAUCGAUUAAAACACUAAAUAAAAGACAGAAAUAUGGUUUUCCUCAGUUUUGGCAUCUUCAGCAUUGGCACAUUACACUUAGCUUUUUUUAUUAGGAAAUAAAAUGGUACAGUCGAGUCAUGAAAUAAGGUGACACAAAGCAGAAAUUAGCGCAUUUUGUUUCCAAAUUCAGCAACUACAAAAUCAAGGAUGUGUGCAGUUAAAGGUGAAGAGCAGGUGUGAGGUGUGUCAUUCUGUAAAGGGAAACAACAGCACCGGCACCAGAAUACAUUUUAAAAUGUUCAUUAGGUGAAACUAGAGUUGGAACAUUGCAGGUGAGAAAGAGUCAAGCCAUUUAAAUGUAGCUUUAGCACCACCUAUAUGUGAAAAGCUGUCCUAAAUUGUGUGAUGAUUCAUUUAAUUUUCACUUAAUUUUUUGACAUAUAAAACAUUAUGAUCAAC
Long non-coding RNA from Stegastes partitus (bicolor damselfish), 466 nucleotides. RefSeq lists it as uncharacterized. NCBI's taxonomy places the organism in Eukaryota, Metazoa, Chordata, Actinopteri, Pomacentridae. The record is from RefSeq and is a predicted model, not a curated record. The transcript has 2 exons.